CCUGCCUACGGGAGGCAGCAGUGAGGAAUAUUGGUCAAUGGCCGAGAGGCUGAACCAGCCAAGUCGCGUGAGGGAAGACGGCCCUACGGGUUGUAAACCUCUUUUGUCGGGGAGCAAAGCGAGUCACGUGUGACUCAUUGAGAGUACCCGAAGAAAAAGCAUCGGCUAACUCCGUGCCAGCAGCCGCGGUAAUACGGAGGAUGCGAGCGUUAUCCGGAUUUAUUGGGUUUAAAGGGUGCGGAGGCGGAGGAGCACGUCAGCGG
Molecule: ribosomal RNA, 263 nt
Filed under: uncultured bacterium
Lineage: Bacteria
Description: partial 16S ribosomal RNA
Rfam family: Bacterial small subunit ribosomal RNA
Source: RNAcentral